GACGGAGGGGGCUAGCGUUGUUCGGAAUUACUGGGCGUAAAGGGCGCGUAGGCGGCCGAUCAAGUUAGGCGUGAAAUCCCUGGGCUUAACCCAGGAACUGCGUUUAAUACUGAUUGGCUAGAGAUUGGUAGAGGAAAGUGGAAUUCCUAGUGUAGAGGUGAAAUUCGUAGAUAUUAGGAAGAACACCAGAGGCGAAGGCGACUUUCUGGGCCAAUACUGACGCUGAGGCGCGAAAGCGUGGGGAGCAAACAGG
Molecule: ribosomal RNA, 253 nt
Filed under: uncultured bacterium
Lineage: Bacteria
Description: partial 16S ribosomal RNA
Rfam family: Bacterial small subunit ribosomal RNA
Source: RNAcentral